UUGCACGCUGGCGGCCUGCUUUACCCCUGCACGUCGAACGGUAACAGGCCUUCGGGUGCUGCCGAGUGGCGAACGGGUGAGUAAUGCAUCGGAACGUACCCAGAGGUGGGGGAUAACGCAGCGAAAGCUGUGCUAAUACCGCAUGUGAUCUGAGGAUGAAAGCGGGGGACCGAGCAGCAAUGUUUGGCCUCGCGCCUUUGGAGCGGCCGAUGUCGGAUUAGCUAGUUGGUGGGGUAAAGGCCUACCAAGGCGACGAUCCGUAGCUGGUCUGAGAGGACGACCAGCCACACUGGGACUGAGACACGGCCCAGACUCCUACGGGAGGCAGCAGUGGGGAAUUUUGGACAAUGGGCGCAAGCCUGAUCCAGCAAUGCCGCGUGCGGGAAGAAGGCCUUCGGGUUGUAAACCGCUUUUGGCAGGAACGAAACGGUGUCCGCUAAUACCGGGCGCUAAUGACGGUACCUGCAGAAUAAGCACCGGCGAACUACGU
RNAcentral lists this ribosomal RNA (490 nucleotides) under uncultured bacterium. RNAcentral describes it as "partial 16S ribosomal RNA". It matches the Rfam family "Bacterial small subunit ribosomal RNA", at positions 29 to 506 of the family's 1533-position model. The record is from RNAcentral.